This 1193-nucleotide ribosomal RNA is filed under the name Triticum aestivum (bread wheat). RNAcentral describes it as "partial small subunit ribosomal RNA". Lineage: Eukaryota; Viridiplantae; Streptophyta; Magnoliopsida; Poales; Poaceae. The record is from RNAcentral.
ACUAGACUACUAAGUACUAUUGAGCUGCCUAGCGUGCCGGAAGCACAGCCACUGCGUAGUAAGUUUAAAGACGGGAUAGUUGAAAGCUACCAUCCUAUCCCCGGAUGGUACCACCACUGCCCACUGCCUCUUAAUCCCAAGCUAAGGCUUCUCCCUCGGACUCUUUGCCGAUGGUGUAGGUUCCUUCCGUCGUCCGCGCGUUUAAUGGGUUAGGACUGUGGCUCUCCAUCACUGUUAUUUAUUGUUAUGGCCCGCGUAAUCACAGACCAUUAACCUUACUCAUGUUAGAUUUAGGGAAUUGCUCCUAGAUAACCUCCCGUUCAUACCACGGUCGUCGGCGCCAUUAAGGUCGAGGUUAUCGCAUAUAAAUUCAACUUCAAUUUUUCGAGCAUCAACCUGGAACCCGGCCCAGCCGGCCAGGCGGAGUGCCGCUCGUGGCUGGAUGAGCUGGGAAGCCGGCCGUAGCGCGAGGAUCGGAAUUAACCGGCCCAGCACAAAGGCCGUAGCAAUGAAACUUCUUUAAUCUCACGAGUUUCGUUCGGUAGCGAGACCUAUGUAAUCGUACCCUAUUGUAGUAUCCUAAGGCCAGGAUAACACAACCGGAAGCCCUAGCCUCAUUACUAAUUAUCCCUGUCAGCCCCCGUAAGCAUAAAGUAUCAGUCUCCACUUUAAGAACCUAAAUACUUUCUGCUUGUUGGCGCUUUCGUAAACGGUUCCUACAAAAGUAAUUAGUUCUUACUUUCAACCCCCGAGCUUCUGCUAGUCUAUGGCAGGAUCACAACUGGUAUUUGCUACAGCUGGUCCCUAGCCGCCUACAACGUAUAUCCUGAGGCGGCUGUGGAAUACUCUUUAGUUUCAGAAACCCAAGGCCCCCCUCAUACCAGCGUUCCGACUUUGAAUUUCCUUAACUGCCUUCCCGUGGUGGUCCACACCUCGGACGCCGAAUUAAACUGAGUUGUGCCCCUUUGAAUGGUCCAGGUCUGUAUCGUUCCUAACUGUCCGACUCUCGAGAAAGAACUAAGAUACCCACCACCACGUACCGGCAAGAAUCAACCACCUCGCUAAACAGACCAAUUAAGGCAAUUGCUUGCUCUGGAGUCGGACGAUUGAUCGAUACGCCUCCGUAGGGAGACGUCGAUCGAAGAAUCUCCCUGAUAGCGGCAAAUCCGCUGCCUUCAAACUCCGUUAUUGUC